CAAGGUGGUGGUGGGGCUUCUUCGCACAAGUGUGGGGGGGGGUCUUGCACAAGUGGGGGGGGGGCAAAGCUGGUGCCAGCAUCACACACACACACACACAUUGAUAUGGUGGUGCUAGGGGGGGUUUGCACGAGGAGCCAUUUAAACAAAGGGGGGUUCUUUUGCACGAGGAUGGUUUGCACGAGGAUGAUUUGCACGAGGGUUGUUUGUAUAAGGAGCCCUUUGCACGAGGAUGUCUUGCACAAGGAUCCAUUUGCACUAGGAUCUCUUGCACAAGGAGCCCCUUGCACGUGGAUCUCUUACACUAGGAACCCUUAACACAAGAAAUUAUUUGCACAAGGAUCUCUUGUACCAGGAGCCCUUUGCACAAGGAUCUCUUGCACAAGGAUCCAUUUGCAGUAGGAUCUCUUGCACCAGGAGCCCUUUGCACAAGGCUUGCUUGCACAAGGAUCCAUUUGCACAUGGGCCUCUUGCACACGGAACCCUUAACACAAGGAUCUCUUUACACAAGGAACCCGUUGCACAAGGAUCUCUUGCACAAGGAUCCAUUUGCACAAGGUUUGCUUGCACAAGGAGCCCUUUGCACGUGGAUCUCUUGCACAAGGAGCCGCUUGCACGUGGAUCUCUUACACUAGGAACCCUUAACACAAGGAUCUCUUGCAAAAGAAAUUAUUUGCACGAGGAUCUCUUGCACCAGGAGCCCUUUGCACAAGGAUGUCUUGCACAAGGAUCCAUUUGCACAACGAUCUCUUGUACCAUGAGCUCUUUGCACGAGGAAUUGUUGCACAAGGAGCCAUUUGCACACGGAUCUCUUGCACAAGGAGCCCUUUGCACAAGUAUCUUUUGCACAAGUAGCCUUGCACACAUUGAUCUCUUGCACAAGGAGUCCACUGCAGUAGGGUGUCUUACACAAGGAUCUCUUACACAAGGAACCAUUAACACAAGAAUCACUUGCACAUGGAGCCCGACACAAGAGGAUCUCUUGCACAAGGAUCUCUUUGCACAAGGACCUCUUGCACAGGAACUCAAUUGCACAAGGAUCUUUUACACAAGGGCCCCUUUGCACAAGGAUCUCUCGCACAAUAACUCAUUUGCACAAGGAUCUCUCGCACAAUAUCUCACACAAGGAUCUCUCGCAAAAGGACCCCUUUGCACAAGGAUCUCUUGCACAAGGACCUCUUUGCACAAGGACCUCUCACACCAGGCCCCCUUUGCUCAAGGAUCUCACACAAUAACCCAUUUACACAAGCAUCUCUCGCACAAGUAUCUCUUGCACAAGGAUCUCUCGCACAAGGACCCCUUUGCACAAGGAUCUCUUGCACAAGCAUCUCUUGCACAAGCAUCUCUUGCACAAUGACCCCUUACACAAGCAUCUCUCGCACAAUGACCCCCUUACACAAUCAUCUCUCGCACAAUGACCCCUUACACAAGUACCUCUCGCACCAGGCCCCCUUUGCACGACUCCCCCCCCCUCACUGCUCCUCGUUCCCCCCCGUGAGCUUGUGGAACAGCUCCGUGUCCAUUUGCCGUCCCGCCGUGCGCCCCCCCAUGCACACGUACCCCCCCAGGUACUCGUGCACCGUCUGGCACGAGGCCGACACGACGCUGAACGCCACGUUCAAAUGCUCCUCGAACUCCAGCGCCACCUGGCGGA
Molecule: long non-coding RNA, 1654 nt
Filed under: Coturnix japonica (Japanese quail)
Lineage: Eukaryota; Metazoa; Chordata; Aves; Galliformes; Phasianidae
Description: lncRNA (ENSCJPG00005002803.1)
Source: RNAcentral